Molecule: long non-coding RNA, 3515 nt
Organism: Oncorhynchus gorbuscha (pink salmon)
Lineage: Eukaryota; Metazoa; Chordata; Actinopteri; Salmoniformes; Salmonidae
Exons: 2
Source: RefSeq, a predicted model, not a curated record
UUAGCUAGUUACAUAUCUCACUGUCGCUUCUUACAACUUCCCAAAUAUGGACGGAAAACAGGCAUUUUGUGAUCGGUAAGGGGAUGCCACAAUAACUGGCAGAAACGGAAGCUGUUCAUGGAACAGGAGUGUUUUGACCACAGAACAAUUUUUGAGAGGGUAGUGCAGUUGUGAGGCGCCUUUUGAUUUGCACCCGCCUCCCAAGGGCGAGGAGUCUCUUCGGAUUUGCCUCAGCGCAUUGCACUUGAAGAAACCUCUAACAUAAACAUUUUUAAAAAGAGAACUCCAAACCGACCCUAUGUGUGUUCCUAUCACUUCGUGGACAAGUGGCCGACUGAAGAGCAUCCUUUCACUGAGAAGUGGCUGGGCUAUGAUGCUCCAGUAUAGAUCAGAAGGCGACAUCUCAUCAGAACAUUAACACAUACAUGUACAGUAGCUGUUAGCUAGCUGCUAACGUUACUCGCUAGCUAUCGUCACAUAUAGGGUAUCCUGAAUCAGGCAGACGUUAGCUAACUGUAGUAAAUGAAGACAAUUGUGAUGUGGAGUCUGAUCUGAGUGUGCCAAUGGCACUGCAGCAUAAAGGUGCUGAUACUCAAUGGGAUGUUCCAGCACUGACUGAUCACAGCUAUGUGUCAAGUGAACCAGUCAACAAGCCCAUCUGCCACAAACAAACCCAAUGUGGUGGUGCAGAGUCAUUGACCCACACCAUCCUGAAGAAUGACACUAGCUCAGUGUUGUAUACUGGCCUUCCUCUAAGUGUUUUCUUUAACCAUGUAGCAUUUCUGCAUAAAUUCUACACGGCUAACUUCAAAAUGCAUAUCACUGAUCAAAUACUGUUAACCUUGAUGAAGCUGAAUCUACUCCACAGUGAUAUUGCUGAACACUUUGCUGUGUCCCAGGGAGUAGUGAGCAGAAUCCUUUCCUACUGGAUUGACACAAUGGAGGAGCUCAUGAGGAUCUACAUUCCAUGGCAGCCGAGGUUAGACAAUCCUGAAGACGCUGCCUCAGUGCUUCAAAGAGAAGUUAUCCAACACCACUUGCAUCAUCCACUGCUCUGAGACCAUUCUCCAGAAAGCAGACAAUCUCGAUUCCAGAUGGGAGUCAUACAGCCACUAUUAUUCCAGCAAUACUCUCAAGUAUUUGGUUGCCAUUGCUCUAUGUGGACUCAUUAUGUUCAUUUCUCCUGCAUAUAGAGGCAGAUGUAAUGACAAGUUCAUCACCCAAAACUCUGGCUUCCUGGAAUACCUUAGGCCUGGCAAUGAAGUUAUGGCUGACGGGCUUCACCAUCCGAGAUCUGCUGUAUGAGAGGAAGGUAAACCUUGCCAUACCAGCCUUCACCCAGAAAGGAGGCCAGCUGUCUGACGAGGAUGUCGCAAGCACAAGAAGGAUAGUUAAUGUGCAUAUACAUGUUUAGAGAGUUAUCAGACUCAAGGUGUUCAAAUCCUCUUCUAGACUGUUCCCAUCAACCUGACACACAAAAUGGACAAAGUCCUUAGAAUCUGUGCAGCCCUUGUUAACAUGCAGGGUGAGAUCAUCCAUGAGGAUGCAGAAUGAGCAGUGAGAAUGUUCAUACAUUUGAAAUGUAACUUUAAACACUAUCAUUUCAUCCACCUGAGAUACUAUAUAUAUUAGUUUAAUCGGAAUUAUUUGUUCCUAUAUUUGAAAUCUACUGUAAUUUUGCCGGUUCCUGAUAAUUACAGGCAUCCACUAGGUGCUGCUAUAAUGCUUUUUAAAAUCUAUUUCAAAUACAUUUUCUUCAACACAAAUGUCACUAACAGACCAAGAGGGAAGACAAAUGUCAAGUGACACAAUUAUUCUUAAUUUGUGCCCUUGAAAACCAAACCCAGAAUCAAACUGAAAACACGUUUGAAUACUUUAGACAUGCCUCCUCAUCCUUCUUUUCAAAAUGGUAAAUAUCAAAGAAAAGGUCAAAGUGGAGUUUUAUAAUGUUUUUAUUAACUCCGUAAGUUGCUAAGUGCAAGAUGAGUUCACGAAGUGCCAUAUGAAAAAAGAGCUAUACAAGGUACGAUUAAAAUAUUCAUCAAUCAUAAGGUGUUAUCCUUAAACAUUAGAUAAGCAUGUUUGAAGAGAGUUGUACAAGGAAAGAUGUAAAAAAACACCAAGAAGAAUUAUGCAAAUAUAAAUCAGGGCAAUGUGCAUAUGAAGAGAACUGUGCAAGACAAAAAAACAACCCAGAGUUAUGCUUAGAUACAGUAGAGCUGACAGCUUUACAAGGCAAAAAAAUAACUAUUUAAAAACACAAAGUAUUAGGCCCCGAGCCUAGAUACCACAUAGAUUAACAUAUUUGGAGCACAUAGUUAGUCUGCCUAUCUGGAACUCAUAUACUAUCCUUGGCAGCAUAUGUGGGAAAUACAAUGCCUUUAGUUUAGUGAUUACAUCAGCACAGAACUUCACCUCAAAAGGCAUAUAAAUAACAACCAGCUCGGAUGGAGCCCAUUUACACCUGCAUGUAGUACCCACAGGCUCCAUUAGGUUGCAGCUGGGGAACCGCAUUCACCAGCUUCACAUCAGUGAGUUUGCCAGAGACUCACACUUCUUACUCAGAACAGGACAUUUGAUUUCUAUAAGUUUUUGAGAGUUUAACACUACAUCGGGGCUUGCAGAAAGCCAUGGCUCCUUGACUCACUGCUGUGCCUCUGCUCUCCAGACUAAACCCACAGCUCUCCGUCCAUGUGUUGGCCACCUGCUCAUUUUCCUUGCCAUAUGUGGUUACUGAGUUUCCAUGGAACCUGGGGAAGAGAUGCUCCCGCACAAAGUGGUCAGGAUUUGUUGAGGUGCGCACAGGAACCUUCUUUGCUGAACUAGCAGUGAUCUGAAGUUUAAGUGCAUCAUACCAUGCAUAGGAGGCACUCUCCUUUAGUGAAAUCUCCAAGCAGGCACAUUUAUACUCCUCCAGCUUAACAUGAAUGUCAUAAAAUGCAUGUUGAUGUCGUGUUCACUAUGAGGCUGCUGCUGGAUCUUGAGGACUGUUUGGUUUAGCGUUGCACUUGUGCAGACGGCUCCCACUGGAACAUUGGCCAAACUCUUUUACAGUUUUUUUUGAUUGCUUAAGCACGAUUUUCAAAACACUACACCCAAUUUUCAAAACACUACACACAAUUAGCACAACCACACACCCAAUUAGCAAAACACCACAGAUCCUUUGCAAAAUUAAACACUGUAAAAACUAUACACUUCUUUUUAAAAACCACACUUUGUUGCCAUAUGAAACACACACGUUCUCAUUACUAUACUCUGUUUGCACGAGUUACACUCUGCUGUGAUAAACCUAAAACACUUUUAGCACUUCUACUUCCCUAUGAUUAGAGUAGGCUACUAUCAACAAAGUACAAAUAUAAUGUCAAUUCACCAAACACUACACAAGACCAAUGUUGCAGACUGAAGAAACUCAUUUAUUUCUCAACACGCCCAAAAUGUUGACAUGGAGAUUCAUAAUACUGUAACCAAACGUCACUUUAUGCAUUGUAAGAUCAAAAAAAUAAAAAAUAACUAGA